Molecule: microRNA precursor, 196 nt
Filed under: Sorghum bicolor (sorghum)
Lineage: Eukaryota; Viridiplantae; Streptophyta; Magnoliopsida; Poales; Poaceae
Description: MIR1435 microRNA precursor family
Rfam family: MIR1435 microRNA precursor family
Source: Rfam by way of RNAcentral
UAGAUUUGUCCUAAAUCAAACUUCUCUAACUUUGACCAAGUUCUUAGAUAAAUAUGUUAACAUCUAGUUCAAAUAAAUGCACUAUCAAGACUUAUUUCAUGGAAAAUUUAAUGAAACUAAUUAGAUGUCGUAGAUGCUGGUGCAUUUUCAAUAAACAUGGUCAAAGUUAGAGAUGUUUGAGUUAGGACAAAGCUAA